RNAcentral lists this ribosomal RNA (269 nucleotides) under uncultured Hyphomicrobiales bacterium. RNAcentral describes it as "uncultured Rhizobiales bacterium partial 16S ribosomal RNA". It matches the Rfam family "Bacterial small subunit ribosomal RNA", at positions 61 to 358 of the family's 1533-position model. Lineage: Bacteria; Pseudomonadati; Pseudomonadota; Alphaproteobacteria; Hyphomicrobiales. The record is from RNAcentral.
GUCGAGCGCGUCCACAAUACAGAAACGGCAGACGGGAGAGUUCACGUGGGAAGAAAACCUUCGGUUCGGAAUAACCCAGGGAAACUUGGACUAAUACCGUACCCGUCCGAAAGGAGAAAGAUUUAUCGCCGAAGGAUCGGCCCGCGGCUGAUUAGCUAGUUGGUGAGGUAACGGCUCACCAAGGCGACGAUCGGUAGCUGGUCUGAGAGGAUGAUCAGCCUCACUGGGACUGAGACACGGCCCAGACUCCUACGGGAGGCAGCAGUGGG